RNAcentral lists this ribosomal RNA (433 nucleotides) under uncultured bacterium. RNAcentral's name for it is "partial 16S ribosomal RNA". It matches the Rfam family "Bacterial small subunit ribosomal RNA", at positions 29 to 507 of the family's 1533-position model. The record is from RNAcentral.
AACGAGCGCUGGCGGCAUGCCUAACACAUGCAAGUCGAACGAGACCUUCGGGUCUAGUGGCGCACGGGUGCGUAACGCGUGGGAACCUGCCCUUAGGUUCGGAAUAACUCCCCGAAAGGGGUGCUAAUACCGGAUAAUGUCUUCGGACCAAAGAUUUAUCGCCUUUGGAUGGGCCCGCGUUGGAUUAGCUAGUUGGUAGGGUAAAAGCCUACCAAGGCGACAAUCCAUAGCUGGUCUGAGAGGAUGAUCAGCCACACUGGGACUGAGACACGGCCCAGACUCCUACGGGAGGCAGCAGUGGGGAAUAUUGGACAAUGGGCGAAAGCCUGAUCCAGCAAUGCCGCGUGAGUGAUGAAGGCCUUAGGGUUGUAAAGCUCUUUUACCCGGGAUGAUAAUGACAGUACCGGGAGAAUAAGCUCCGGCUAACUCCGUG